ACUGCACUGUAUGUAGACAGUCUUAUGUCUCAUUUGUGUAUAAACACGAGCAGAAGGCAGAGUAUAUUGUACCUGGCUUUGAUAAAUUCCAUUCUAAUUUAACAGUGUUGAAAACAACAUGAAGUUAUUAUUUUAUUAAUUUCUAGUCCAACUAAUAAGAAACAAAUCUUAUUCCUAGAACCCAUGUUAUUUUAUUACCACAAUAGUAUUUUAAAAACUUUCCUCUGAAACAUUAAAUCAAAAUUGAACCCUCUAUUGACACAUUAGUUUUUCAUUUCAGUUCAGUUUUAAAUUCCAAACUACAGCAGGUUUUGACAUAAAUCCAUUCCUCUAUGUGAGUAUUUAUUGAACACAUUAGUUGCUUUUUACAAGCAUGUGUCAAGAUAUACACAUAUGAACAAAUACAGAAAUAUAGACUGAAAUCAAAAUUAAAAUAAGGUAAAUAAAAACACUGGGAAGAAAAUGGAAUAACCACAUAUUCAGCACUGCAGUUAUAGAAAUAUUAAGAGGUGUUUCCCACAUCCAACCCCAUUUUCAGAGCUGAGAUACAACUGCCCCAUUGAAAAUUCUUCUUCAUAAAGAAUAGCAGGUUUCCUUUCAGGAUUGUGUAAUAUGUUGAGUAAUGAUGGCAACAUACUUUGACCAGUAAUGCUGAUAAAACUUAUUUGGAAGUUAAGCUGAUUCGAGUUCCAUGAAAACAAGAUCCAUUAUCUUAUUAGAAAUAGGAUGUCAAGGAGACUAUAAUAAGCAUAGCUACCAUGUAACAUCUAUGCUACAUGUGGAGAAAUACACAUUGUGGGAAUAUGAUCUAUCUCUACAUAUUUCUUAUCCUCCUACUGAGAAACUAUCCUCUUUUCUUGGCAAACCAAAAGUUCUACCAGGAGAUACAAUGUGUGAUUCACAUCAUCUGACCAUGCAUGAAAAGUAGUUUCUCAUAUGCUGUAAAGGCAGCUGACUUUUAAUAUGGAAACUUUUCUUUCACCUUGUAUGUCAACAGUCUUUGUUUUCAUGAAAUUCAUCAUUAUGGUGCCUCAUUUUGAGGAUUCAUUAUUCUUAUUCACUUGAAAAAGCAAUUUUCUUUGAUGCUGCAUAUUAUUUAUCCACGAAAGAAAACAACUAUUUUGGUAAGCAGGUAGUUUUCCAAGAAACUGGGCAUGAGGGAUUCAUUUACAUUAGCAAAAAAACAAAUCUACUUUUGAAAGAGAAAUAAUGAUAACUUUACAUAAGUUUCUCAAAGCAAUGCUGCUAAGUUUAGAUCUGGUGUCAGGGUACAUUCUGAAGAUUUCAAAUUUCAGAAGCUUUCAAAACCAGGACUUUCAUUUUAUCAUUAAGGGUCUUCAAGUUCUACUCAAAACACAGUUAAUUACAUCUUUUGUUUGUCAGCCAAUGUCACCAUACAGAUGAGUCAUCACAGUACGUGGUCUCCACCAGAGAGUAGAGAUCAGUGCACAGAGCUUGCCAGUGCAAAUUGUAGUGAGCUGACAGUUUUUGGAAAAACACUUUUUAGGGAGGAACUUUUUUGUUGGUAAAAGUUCAAAUGUUUUAUACAGGCACAUAUUUACUAAAGUUCCUCUAAACUCUAUUGCAGGCUUUCAACUCCUCUGCCAUUGGGAUACCAGUGUCCUGUGCUGCCAUGGACAGCAGCGCCAGACCUUCCAAAGAUGCCAUCAGAGAGCACUGGUCCAACUCCAGUUCUUCUCACACAGAGCCAGUGGCUUUGCUUUUAAUUGGAAGAAAAACAGCACUGCAGUAUUACGCUGUAGAUUACUCAGCUUUAAUGAAAGCAGAUUAUGAAACAGAAUCACUAUACUGGCAUAAUAAAAGAUAUUAACUGAGGAAAAUGACCCUGCAGGAUAUACUAAUUCUCACUCACUGUUUCACACUGCCAGUUUCUUUUCCUCACUCUUUCUGUAUGAUUAGAUAGCUUCUGUAGCAUAUGCUGGAGAUAACAGAAUGAUUUUGGACCAUUUAAAACCAGUGGGUUUUUAAUCUUCUUAGCCUAUGAAGAAAAAACUUCAAUGUGUAAAGCAAGUGAACCUGAACUACACAGAACUGAAAUACAGAAAUCAGCACGUGCCACUUUGAAAUACAUCUCAUGAUUUCAGGAGCUUGAAUUCUGCAUUCAAGGAGUCAGUAACACUGGAGAUCCCAUAACCUUUCUUCACUGUUCCUUCCUCUGGUCUCCAUACAUGUGUGGUAAUGGCAGCAUCCUCAAACAAAGCUUUUCUUCCAUCCUGGAAGGCACCCACCUAUAGAAGAGGAAAGUUUCUGUCUUUACCUUCUUGCAUUACCUCAAAUAAAUGGUUGCAUUCAAACUUGUAAUAUCAAUAUUAAAAGAUCUAAUUCAAUCUCACAGGAGAUUCUUACAGAUUAAUAGUCUUCUCUGUGAACACAUAUAUUGGCAUUGGGCCCAAAGGAAAUGCUGUGAUGAACCUCUUCUUAUGUUUCCAUAAGCAGUUUAAGUUUACUCACUGGUAAAUGCAGGUGAAGACUUUUGUCCAGAAUGCUCUCUUCCACAACACACAUGACUGACAGCUCUGAAGUGCAUGAUCUGUCACAACAAACCUAAAUCACAGCUGUUUGAUGGAUAAGCUGGGACACACAAGUGGAACCUCACCCAAGAGCAAGGUUAUAACAACAGCAUGUCAGUGCAUGUUGUGGAGGAGCAGUUGGGUGCUUGGAUCCUCAUAAAAGUCAUGGCAUACGGAUCUCCAACUCUUCUUUGUGGCAGUUGCCUCAAUGUUCCUGCAGACACAGGCUGGGAUGUUGUACCUUCACCCUGAGCUCCCCUAGACUGGCCAGCAGCCCAUCCAACCUACCCAGGCCCAUCACAUAGAAAGUCAGCUGUUUGCCCACAGGACUCAACUGGGAAUCUGCAAAGCUACCACAAUAUUUGCUGCACAGGGAAUUUCACAGCACUAUGCUGCAGAAGUUCAAGAACAAACCAGCAAAGCCGAAUAAGGUCAGAGAACUGAACCCUUUGAGGCAACUCUGCUAAGAUACAGGAUGAAAUUGGACCGAUGAAGGAGGCGGCAGGUUUGCAGGCUGUACUUUCUGAAGACCCAGGAAGGUGGCUGCUCCAUGGCAUGCAUAGCAUAUACAGAUGUCUGAAGACCAAUAGAAGACCAGCUGGUGGGAGGCAGGAUUCUGAAGAUGACUUUUCCACUAAUGCCAUGGACACAAUACUAGAAAGAUGUAGGAAGACUGAUGUUUGGAAAAGUGAUGGAAUUCAAAAAUAACUUUGGAUUCUCUGACCUGCUUCCCUAAUGCACGCUGCUGUAAGUCCAGGGUGGGUAGAAAGUGCGAUUCACAGAGCAGGAAAAGUGGAGCCAUGUCCUGAAGCUUCAUGGCACUGAUCAUGACUUCUCAGCCAAGCACUCCUGUUGCUGGAGCUGUCUCCUCCUCUACCAACCUGCUAAGCCUGGUGAGAGAAUGCAUCAGGCCCAUCUGCCUAAGAACAAAGAAUAAAUCUAUGGCUUAAACAUGUCUCUCUCUUGCUUGCUGACUAUUUCUAUCAUAAUUUAUUCAUUUUUCUGCUUUCCAGCUCCCUCUGAUCAGAGGGAGAUGCUUGCACCAUUUGUUAUUAAUGUUUUUCCCAUCCAUUCUGGUUGCCACAAUAGCUUCAUCAUCAACAGGCUUGAAGUAUGAACAAUUAGAUCACGAUUUUCUUUAAGUAUGUACCAGAUAUCACAAAAAUCCAGCUGUAUGAACAAAGUAAAGAAUCAUCUUUGAGAACAAAUGCUGUUUGCAAUCUUACAAUUUGCAGACUAAAAAUUAAAUGCCUAUUUUUAUCCUCCCUUUUCUGCCAGACACUAACUAAAUUUGUCAAAGCAUGCUUAGGAUUAAAGUUUUAUUGAUUUUAUUUUUUUAAGGCAAACUUAAAAUAUGGCACAUAAAGUUUUCAUAGCUGCAUUAGACUGCAGAAGACAUUGUGACCCAGAUUUCGACUCCUGCUGCCUCCAGUUCACCUGCCAAGGGCUCCUCAUCUCAAUCACAGUGACAGUCUUCAAUCCACUGUACCUACCUGGCUCACAGUUUGGUUGGGGCCACCACCUUCUAGUGCAAAGGGUUCCUUAAGGGAAGGAAGGAAAAGUGUGAGAGAUGGAACCUGAGAGAAACAUCUAUGAGCAAGAAGAAUGUCACCUGGUAGUGGGCAUCACCCAGAGGUUAACGCAGAUGGUCAUCAGCCUGGGAUCAGGUUGGGAAAGUUCGUUUAUUCACCAUUCACUCUGAAAGGCUUCUGUCAGGUUAAUCUAUGCUGCAGUAUUGUUUUUAUUCCUAGGUUUGAGAGGUGACUUAAAGCCUUUUUUUUACAUUGCAUUUCCACUAGCUUUGCCUUUUCUGUGAGUUGUCUUCCAUUUCCUUCUUAGCAUUUACCAUAUGCAAAUCCACAGUUUUGAGAUGAGAGGAAAAGCAGAAAUAUUUUAGGAGGUACUGUUUUCACAAGUGCCCUUGAUAAACUGCUUUCUGAUGUCGUUACCCACAAGCUAUCCGUGAGUUUCUAAUCUCAUUCUCCUGAACUCAAGAGAGUCCCAUGUUCUUCAGCUAACUAGACUGAACCAGCACAAAUUUUUUACUGUUUUCUGAAAUUGCUCAUUAGUGUUCACUAACUGAAAUGUUCCUUGAGUUACCAGUAGAGGCUUAGAUACCUGGUUUUGUAAAAUUUUGUAAUAUUUUAAUUUACUAGUAAAGGGACAGAAUUCAAAUGUUAACUUUUUAUCUGCGUUGCAGGCGUCGAAGGAGGAGGUUCUGGAGUCUUAUAUUGUGUACUUCACUGAAUGCAGCUGAAUUCCAGAAACUUCUGUAAGGAAUGUUUCUGCCCUACUCCCGGUGCCUGCUGGUCCAAGGACUGUUGGCUGGAUAACAAACUAUAAAGGAAAAUAAUCCCAUUGGAGGAUGUUAUCUUUUAAGCAGAAACCAUCAUGGACCAGACAGCUGGCCUUUGAAACCUCCAUUACACAAAGUUUUUGUUUCAGCUACGUACUCUCCCCUCCCCCCAGAAAGCUUUGGAAAGAAAUGAAAGAAAAAAAAAUCCUGGUAAUCCUGGUUUCCUCUAUUUCCUAUUCUGGAUGUAUUCUCAACAUGAAUGAAAUCAGGUCGUGUAUUCGAUAUGGCACACGUGCACUAUUUAUGGUCUGCAAUCAAGCUGAAAGCUGUGAAGUUCAGUGCCACUACCUAUCAUGAAGUCAAACUCUGAGGCUAAAUAACUUCAUAUCCUCAAAUUUUGUAUCCACCAUAUAUUCAUGCUUUAGAGAGUAAAUGCCUCAACUGAAGGCUCCACUGUAAUUUGUUUGGAGUGCUGACCUUUCUUUGAAGUAUUACUAGUAUUUGUCACCUUUGUAUUCAUCAUAGUAGAUGAGAUUUGCCACUCCUUGUUGCCUGUGUUAUCAAAUUGCUUAGCUUAAAUAUUUAAAUGCAAAAUGGCUUUGCAUUUUUACUGACAUACACGGUAACUGAGAGAUGCGGCUUUGCGGUGCAGCAGAGGAAAAUACUUAUGAAGCUGAUGACUCACUGAGAUUUCUUGUACAGUCUUGGUAUAUUAAUGUACAACAUGAGAAUUCCAACCAGAUACUACAUUGAAUCACUGAUUAAGAACCAGGAGAGAAACAUUUUCACUUACCACCCGGAGAGCUAUAGGGCUGAGGGAUUCCACUGGACCA
This is a long non-coding RNA of Columba livia (rock pigeon), 5660 nucleotides long. RefSeq lists it as uncharacterized. The transcript is spliced from 7 exons. Lineage: Eukaryota; Metazoa; Chordata; Aves; Columbiformes; Columbidae. The record is from RefSeq and is a predicted model, not a curated record.